This is a long non-coding RNA of Vigna unguiculata (cowpea), 201 nucleotides long. Lineage: Eukaryota; Viridiplantae; Streptophyta; Magnoliopsida; Fabales; Fabaceae. The record is from RefSeq and is a predicted model, not a curated record.
CUACACAAACAAUUCACACCAUUCAAAAUAAUGUAACUUGUACCAAUGUUUCCGGUUUUAGACGAUAAGUAACAAAAUGAGCCCAUUGAAAUGUGUGAUGAGGUUUCAUUUGUUGGUGCAGGAUUUGUUGAUGGUAAAGAAUUAGCUGGAGGUUGAAGUGAUGAUUUCUGUGGAUUUCGGAAACGCUUCACCUUUGGCAUG